Molecule: ribosomal RNA, 460 nt
Filed under: uncultured bacterium
Lineage: Bacteria
Description: partial 16S ribosomal RNA
Rfam family: Bacterial small subunit ribosomal RNA
Source: RNAcentral
CCUACGGGUGGCAGCAGUGAGGAAUAUUGGUCAAUGGACGAGAGUCUGAACCAGCCAAGUAGCGUGAAGGAUGACUGCCCUAUGGGUUGUAAACUUCUUUUAUAUGGGAGUAAAAUGUUCCACGUGUGGGAUUUUGUAUGUAACCUAUGAAUAAGGAUCGGCUAACUCCGUGCCAGCAGCCGCGGUAAUACGGAGGAUCCGAGCGUUAUCCGGAUUUAUUGGGUUUAAAGGGAGCGUAGGUGGUUUGUUAAGUGAGUUGUGAAAGUUUGGGGCUCAACCGUAAAAUUGCAGUUGAAACUGGCAGUCUUGAGUACAGUAGAGGUAGGCGGAAUGCGUGGUGUAGCGGUGAAAUGCUUAGAGAUCACGCAGAACUCCGAUUGCGAAGGCAGUUCACUGGACUGCAACUGACGCUGAGGCACGAAAGUGUGGGUAUCAAACAGGAUUAGAUACCCUAGUAGUC